AAACACUGCAUCAUGAAGCUUCGGAGAGUUGUGAUUCUUUUGUGUCGAAUCAGCAGUUCGGAGCGCCAAAGUCACGUGAUUUCAGCAGUUUGGCGGUUUGACACGCGAUCCGAAUCAUGAUUCGACACAAAAGAUUCAUAACGCUCCGAAGCUUCCUGACGCAGUGUUUUGAAAUCGGCCAUCACUAUAUAAGUCGUUAUUUUGUUUUUUUUGGCGCACCAAAAAUAUUCUCGUCGCUUUAUAAUAUUAAUAUUGAACCACUGUACUCACAUGAACUGAUUUAAAUAUGUUUUUAGUACAUUAAUGGAUCUUGAGAGAGGAAAUUUCAUUGCUGGCUAUGCAGGACUCACUGAGCCAUCGGAUUUAAUCAAAAAUAUCGGCGAGGAUCACUGCUGUGGAGGUGUGUUGGAAAAAUAGGGCAGUCGAAAGCAAUGCUAAAUUACUCCAGAGUGGUUUUUACUUUGAACAUGGAUUGACUGAAAGGUUUCUGCUGUUUUAUGGCCUGGGUUAACCACAAGAUACUCCUGUCAACCCAUAUGGCAAAGGGCAUCUCAGGAACUGCACUACAGUGUUUCAAGUCUUACCUCUCUGAUGAUCCGACGGUAGCUGCUCGCAAUCUCAGCCUGCCUGACAAACACCAAUCCGAUUGGAGUGGGGGAUGCAAGUUCUUGCCAUUUUGUGCAUCAGGUGGUCAGUGAAACAACCGUGGGCAGUCUGAGGCUGAGGCUAUUUAUCUGUAAAGUUGGUAAUGUCACUGGUGGGAUUGGACUGCGCAGAUCAUUAUAUCUGUGGCAAGCAGGGUUAUGGUCGUGUACACAAAUUGCAUUAGUCAUUUAAACAAUUUGUUCACUGUAUAGGAUAUUCAGAUGAAAGUUUAUAGUUGUUCAGGGAUUAAUUAUUAGCAGAUGAAGUGUUGAAUAGGGAAAAUGUGGGCAGCACUACAGCAUGCACCAGCAGAUUAAAAGUAAUGUGUCUCCUUAUUAGAGAACAUGAGGGCAAUCUUCAAGCAAGAAUAGAUCUGAAGAUCAUACGUCCCUCAUCUCUGUCUGUAUCUCUCAGCCCACAUAUCCUCUAACCUUGUUACAGUGUCUUCCCACAAAACAGCAGCUGUGAAGUCGGCACAAGCCCAUUUGCGGGUCAUUGUAUUGAAACCAUGUCAGAGAGAGAAACAUGCAUAUGUGAAAGAAAGGAAAGAGAUCUGUGCGAGAGAGUAAACAAACAAGAAUUUUAAUUUCCA
Long non-coding RNA from Ctenopharyngodon idella (grass carp), 1237 nucleotides. RefSeq lists it as uncharacterized. NCBI's taxonomy places the organism in Eukaryota, Metazoa, Chordata, Actinopteri, Cypriniformes, Xenocyprididae. The record is from RefSeq and is a predicted model, not a curated record. The transcript has 4 exons.